Long non-coding RNA from Agrilus planipennis (emerald ash borer), 684 nucleotides. RefSeq lists it as uncharacterized. NCBI's taxonomy places the organism in Eukaryota, Metazoa, Arthropoda, Insecta, Coleoptera, Buprestidae. The record is from RefSeq and is a predicted model, not a curated record. The transcript has 2 exons.
GUAUGUGUGUUUCGUCGAAAGCAGAUCAGAUAACGCGUACUAUGAAGAGAUACACUCUACAGUGCCUCCAGAUGUAUCUCUUCAAAUAUUCUCAUAAGCUGGUACUGAAAGGCAAGCUGUACCACCCAUCUAUGCUAUCGAUAAAGCGAAAGCGUCCUUUAGGAAUCGUGGAAAUAUGAAUAAGUUGUGGUGACUAAAGACUAAAGAGAUUAAGACAGAAGUAGAUUGGAAGGCUACUUACAGGCUCUUCCUGCCCAGUGUUUGUUUACAUGGUGUAAAGAAAAUAUAGAAAAUGCCAGCAGAUGAUCCAGUGUUCUCUUUCUGUAAUCUGUCCCUGGCAUCGGCAACUUUUUUGUCUGCGGAGUAGAUAUUAAUAAAUAUUAAGAAGGGUCAGUGGUAUUUUCAUAUUAAGGCAGUCUUCUUGGGGAAUAAUAAUACUGCUGCUGCUGAAGUUUAAGAAUACAUAUAUUAAUUGGGCCCCCUCUCUUAUUUAGUAGCUAUUGAGCGCAAGUUUUCCUUUUACUCCCUAGCUCUCGCUAGUCAAGGUGUUACGGUCAGUAUUAAUCUCUGAUUACAUCUAUACUUGCUAUUAUGCUAUUAUUCAAGAUUAAGUUUUACUGUUGUUAAAUUUGUCAUGCUCAAAAGUUGUGUAAAUAGAAUAAAGAUCUUAAACUCAAUAAGAAA